GCUGCCCGCAGGACGGUCAGGUGGGCCCCCCAGCUCGCUGCCAGCGCGGCCUCUGUCCCUCUCGGGCCGGCUCUCCAUCUUGUCGCCCGUAGCCCGCCUUCUCCGUGGCUCUCCAGCCGCUGGGGCCGCAGAGCCGAGGCCGGGUUACCUCAGGAAACGCGAUGUGGUAGUGGGUCGGAAUAAACCCGCGCGCCCCAGAAUUCGCCUUGGGGGCGUAAGGACAGAUUCGGACUUUUCGUUUCCUAUGUCCACAUUUAUUGAGCACCUAAUAUGUGACACCCGAGGCUGUAAGAAGAGGAACGCAGCGGGCGGAGAAAAGCCAGAGCUUUUUCUCUGUGAGCCGCUGCCUCCAGGGCCAUAGCCGACCCUGCUCCGAGAUCCCAGCCGCCGCUCUCCGUGCAGGAGGGGUGCCCACCCUGGGGAGGCCAGGGUGCCCGGAGUGGAGGGACAGGGCUUCAAGCGACCGGGAGUUUCCAGCAAACCCCUGAUCCCUGAGCAGUUUAUUUUAAAAGCUUUUGCAAAUGUUGGACGGUUUCGUUUGGUGGAGGCCGUCUUUGCACUAAAUUCUCCUGUCCUCCCCCUUCGAAACGCACAAAAUGAAUUUUGAACAGAUUUUGGAUGAGAGGUUUUCUUCCUUUUUUCAUCUUCUGAAACAUUUCCCCCUCAUUUCUUCUCAGAUAAAGACCCAGAAACCCGGGACAGUUACUCGGUGUACAGCUAGUCAAAUACUGAGGAAACCAGUCGAUAUUUGCCAAAGAUUGGGCAUGUUCUGGGUGGUCUCAGAUUUUGAAGAAACGACUUUUUUACUGCACAAAAUAGUUUUACAAUCAGUUCCAUCAGACAGCCCCAGGGGCUCUCCUAGGGAAAGGGGCCAAUAGGCAAGGUUGCAUGGGGAUAAGAGAGGCAAGCGGCCAGUGGAAAACGGUUUUUUGUUUUUUUUUUCCUAACAGUUGGGCAUUUCUGUAGCUCUGAAAGCAAACUUGUUUGUUUCAUUUCAACGAUAGAAAAAAAACACUCCUGUUUUGGAAAUGUAACCCAGCAUAAAAAUACAUUUGCAAUGGGGAAAAAGAAAGCAGUUUAGGGCCACCCAGAAGAAAAUAUUUUUUCCCUGAUUUUUUUUUAAUUUGGUAUUUCCCAGUGUGGGUUUGCCUCAUUUUACAAAUAGCUGCCCAUGUCAAGAUGUGGGUAUGUGAUUUAAAUAUUUUAAUUUGAAUCACAUUUUACAUAGUCUAGGAAACUGACAAAAGAAUCCUAUAGAGAAUUGUUUUAUAAAGUGAAUAACUGCUUCUCUACCUACCCGCCCCUCUCAUUCUUCUUUUCUGUGCGUGUUUUUGGGGGGCUGUUAUGGGAUAAAUCUUGUUUGGCUUAAAAAUCACUAAAACGCAGCCUUUCAAAUCCAAAACAGAGAGCUUAGGUACCCAACAUUCUAUAGAAUGUAUUAUUUCCUCAAGAGGUUGCUAGGAACAGUUAUGUAGAUCUACCAGGUGCAGGGAAGCACUCCACACCCUCACCCAGGUCCUGUAUCCCUGCAAGACUGCGUUGGAAAGACUGAAGAGGUAAGAAUAUACCGAUUUAAUUGCGGAUUCCGGGUCACAUUUCACGUUUCCAUGCUCUUUCUUUGAAGUAAUUUUUAAUUUAAAAUCUUAGGCUCUUGGAUUAUUUGGGUUUGUAUGGUUGAAUGAAACUAUCAUUGACCUUAGGUAUAUUUAUUUCUUCUUGGUAUCAGACCUAGUAUGAUGGAGGCACAAACCUGUUUUGCGUUUUUCUUUACUCACUCUACUUAUUAAGCACCUACCUACCAUGUACAGGGUAACUGUUCUAGGGGCUAUAGAUGUUGUAUUUCAGGUUUGUCUACUCAGUUUUCUUUUUCUGGGUCACUUUGCAUCUUUAUCGCUGGGCUUCGUAAAAGACUAAUAAUAAUCCGCUUCAUCUGUAUAGUGCUUUACAGCUUACAGAGCACUUUUACAAAAAUUGUCUCAUGUGAUCCUCCCACAUAAACCUCAGUUAAGCACAUGGCGUGGGAAGCAUCAUGGCUGAGUGCAAAGAACCUGGACCAUGAAUACAGAUCAACCUGAGUACCCAUUUUAUAGCUGAAGAAGCUGAGCCACUGUUUAGGGUCACGAACAGUUAUUCUCCUUACUACUACCUGUAAGUAGUAAGCCAGUGCUCCUUUCACAUGUUUGUGGACUAUCUGAGAAACUGCAUGCUAUAUGCACAUAUAAAGUGUGCUUCCCAGACUUACAGAAAGCAUACAACCCCAG
RNAcentral lists this long non-coding RNA (2261 nucleotides) under Homo sapiens (human). RNAcentral's name for it is "non-protein coding lnc-CES5A-3:2". The record is from RNAcentral. Lineage: Eukaryota; Metazoa; Chordata; Mammalia; Primates; Hominidae.